Molecule: ribosomal RNA, 396 nt
Filed under: uncultured bacterium
Lineage: Bacteria
Description: partial 16S ribosomal RNA
Rfam family: Bacterial small subunit ribosomal RNA
Source: RNAcentral
AUACGGAGGGUGCAAGCGUUAAUCGGAAUUACUGGGCGUAAAGCGCACGCAGGCGGUUUGUUAAGUCAGAUGUGAAAUCCCCGGGCUCAACCUGGGAACUGCAUCUGAUACUGGCAAGCUUGAGUCUCGUAGAGGGGGGUAGAAUUCCAGGUGUAGCGGUGGAAUGCGUAGAGAACUGGAGGAAUACCGGUGGCGAAGGCGGCCCCCUGGACGAAUACUGACGCUCAGGUGCGAAAGCGUGGGGAGCAAACAGGAUUAGAUACCCUGGUAGUCCACGCCGUAAACGAUGUCGACUUGGAGGUUGUGCCCUUGAGGCGUGGCUUCCGGAGCUAACGCGUUAAGUCGACCGCCUGGGGAGUACGGCCGCAAGGUUAAAACUCAAAUGAAUUGACGGGG